UACGUAGGGGGCAAGCGUUGUCCGGAUUUAUUGGGCGUAAAGAGCGUGUAGGCGGCCAGACAGGUCAGCUGUGAAAACUCGAGGCUCAACCUCGAGACGUCGGUUGAAACCGUUUGGCUAGAGUCCGGAAGAGGAGAGUGGAAUUCCCGGUGUAGCGGUGAAAUGCGCAGAUAUCGGGAAGAACACCCGUGGCUAAGGCGGCUCUCUAGUACGGUACUGACGCUGAGACGCGAAAGCGUGGGGAGCGAACAGG
This 253-nucleotide ribosomal RNA is filed under the name uncultured bacterium. Its description in RNAcentral is "partial 16S ribosomal RNA". It matches the Rfam family "Bacterial small subunit ribosomal RNA", at positions 524 to 776 of the family's 1533-position model. The record is from RNAcentral.